Molecule: ribosomal RNA, 253 nt
Filed under: uncultured bacterium
Lineage: Bacteria
Description: partial 16S ribosomal RNA
Rfam family: Bacterial small subunit ribosomal RNA
Source: RNAcentral
UACAGAGGUCCCAAGCGUUGUUCGGAUUCACUGGGCGUAAAGGGUGCGUAGGCGGCGCGGUAAGUCGGAUGUGAAAUCUCGGGGCUUAACUCCGAAACUGCAUUCGAUACUGCCGUGCUUGAGGACUGGAGAGGAGACUGGAAUUUACGGUGUAGCGGUGAAAUGCGCAGAUAUCGGGAGGAACACCGGUGGCGAAGGCGGUUCUCUGGGCCUGACCUGACGCUGAGGAGCGAAAGCGUGGGGAGCGAACAGG